AUGGCAGCCUCUCACUAUGCAUACAACAUGCUCAAGAUGCCAGGCCCGAUAAGUGUCAUCUCUGUCCCCGGCGACAAGAAGGAUGCCCUUAUCUGCGCUGACAAGAUCUACCGGGAAGCAGCAGCCGCAGCUGAUCACAACACACUUGCCGCUGAAGCUCCCGGGGGGAAGAAGAAGACAAAGUCCGGCAAGAGCUCUGAUGCACACUCCGGCAAGCGCACCUCUUCGGAGUGCUGCGCUACAGUCGAGGACGCACCAUCGAGCUCCACCGGAAAGUACAAGAAGAUGAUGGCAGCUCCACCCGAGACUAAGAAGGUGUCCUCCAAGGAGGACGGCACUGGUGGUACCUUCACCAUCAGUGCCACGCUUGACCCCAAAUAG
This 381-nucleotide ribosomal RNA is filed under the name Triticum aestivum (bread wheat). RNAcentral's name for it is "partial small subunit ribosomal RNA". The record is from RNAcentral. Lineage: Eukaryota; Viridiplantae; Streptophyta; Magnoliopsida; Poales; Poaceae.